AAAUCACGCACAAAACACACACAGAGUAUCCGUCACUGCAAUUACAUAAACGAUUGAGAGCACUGAGCAGCAGAUGCAGCAGCUAUGGAUUAUGGACAAUUUCAGAAGCACAACAAAGAUCAAAGUGGUGGUCCAAUAGAACCAUGACUUCCCUGAACGACCUAAAAAUCAAUACCCUAUAGAGAGAGUUUGGAGGACAAAAAGAGAACCAAAUUCUUUUACCAAUUGAUUGUCAUUGUCAAUGGGGUGUGCGGUCAAAAGUGUAUUACUUUGGCGUUGUUCGUUUUGCUUAAAAGGGAAGCUUACACAAAUGCCUUGCGUCAUUAUGUUGUGUUCCCAUUAUGUAUGGAUGGGGUGUACCAAAUUGCCAGAGAAUCUACGAAGCUUGAAUUCAACCCUUAUGGGAUCAAAUUCGCAAUGCCAAAACCUGAAAAUUCCAGUCGAGUCAAGCAUUUAUUCAACCAGAUCCAAUAUAAGCCGAGUCCUCCUGUAUGGGGCUUAAUUUGCUUCCGGGAAGAUCCUCGUACGCCUGCGUUUUCAAUCAUUCUGAUCCAUCUGGGGAAAUGGAAUGCUGCUGCCCAUGAUUUGAGGGCCAUUCGAUUUGUGGAUACCGAAUUCCCACCAUGGAUAUCUCCUUUCUCUCGUAGCCCUUUUGCUCCGUCGAAGUUCUUUUCCUUGACAAAAAGCAACCAUCCUUUGAAAUGCAGAUGAGGAAUUGGUGAAAAAGAUUAGGCUGCUAUAUUACUACUGUAGCAGAUUUGUGCUUUUCUGCUUUAUAUUGGUGCAUCCCAAAUGAAUGAUGUGUCGUUGGUGAAAUGAGGGUGAUGGGAAGUAUGAAAUGAUGCUAGGCAUUGACAUUAAUUUAAGGAGCGUUGUAGUGGAUGGAGCAACAUGACAAAAAGUAAGCCAUCUUAAUGAUGGCUACGCUGAUGAGAUAAUUUUAAAUAUCUAUGUCGUCGUGACAAGUAAAGAUAGCAAUGGCGUGCUAAC
Molecule: long non-coding RNA, 990 nt
Organism: Coffea arabica (coffee)
Lineage: Eukaryota; Viridiplantae; Streptophyta; Magnoliopsida; Gentianales; Rubiaceae
Source: RefSeq, a predicted model, not a curated record